RNAcentral lists this ribosomal RNA (301 nucleotides) under uncultured bacterium. RNAcentral's name for it is "partial 16S ribosomal RNA". It matches the Rfam family "Bacterial small subunit ribosomal RNA", at positions 509 to 807 of the family's 1533-position model. The record is from RNAcentral.
CAGUAGCCGCGGUAAUACGAAGGGUGCAAGCGUUAAUCGGAAUUACUGGGCGUAAAGCGUGCGUAGGCGGUGAGUUAAGUCUGCUGUGAAAUCCCCGGGCUCAACCUGGGAAUGGCAGUGGAUACUGGCUCGCUAGAGUGUGUCAGAGGAUGGUGGAAUUCCCGGUGUAGCGGUGAAAUGCGUAGAGAUCGGGAGGAACAUCAGUGGCGAAGGCGGCCACCUGGGACAAUACUGACGCUCAUGCACGAAAGCGUGGGGAGCAAACAGGAUUAGAUACCCCCGUAGUCCCUGUCUCUUAUAC